Molecule: non-coding RNA, 24 nt
Filed under: Arabidopsis thaliana (thale cress)
Lineage: Eukaryota; Viridiplantae; Streptophyta; Magnoliopsida; Brassicales; Brassicaceae
Source: RNAcentral
UUAAUUACUUAUAUCAGUAGGUGA